CUGAGAGGAUGAUCCGCCACACUGGGACUGAGACACGGCCCAGACUCCUACGGGAGGCAGCAGUGGGGAAUAUUGGACAAUGGGCGCAAGCCUGAUGCAGCCAUGCCGCGUGUGUGAAGAAGGCCUUAUGGUUGUAAAGCUCUUUAAUCGAGGAGGAGCCUACUUUAGAUAAUACCUAGAGAUAGUGGACGUUACUCGCAGAAUAAGCACCGGCUAACUCUGUGCCAGCAGCCGCGGUAAUACAGAGGGUGCAAGCGUUAAUCGGAUUUUCUGGGCGUAAAGCGCGCGUAGGCGGCUAAUUAAGUCAAAUGUGAAAUCCCCGAGCUUAACUUGGGAAUUGCAUUCGAUACUGGUUAGCUAGAGUGUGGGAGAGGAUGGUAGAAUUCCAGGGGUAGCGGUGAAAUGCGUAGAGAUCUGGAGGAAUACCGAUGGCGAAGGCAGCCAUCUGGCCUAACACUGACGCUGAGGUGCGAAAGCAUGGGGAGCAACCAGGAUUAGAUACCCUGGUAGUCCAUGCCGUAACCGAUAUCUCCUAGCCGUUGGGGCCUUGAGGCUUUAGUGGCGCAGCUAA
This 571-nucleotide ribosomal RNA is filed under the name Acinetobacter sp. Its description in RNAcentral is "bacterial SSU rRNA". It matches the Rfam family "Bacterial small subunit ribosomal RNA", at positions 292 to 855 of the family's 1533-position model. The record is from RNAcentral. Lineage: Bacteria; Pseudomonadati; Pseudomonadota; Gammaproteobacteria; Moraxellales; Moraxellaceae.